Molecule: transfer RNA, 77 nt
Filed under: Candidatus Campbellbacteria bacterium CG11_big_fil_rev_8_21_14_0_20_44_21
Lineage: Bacteria; Candidatus Campbelliibacteriota
Also listed under: 1 other name
Description: tRNA-Val
Rfam family: tRNA
About the family: Transfer RNA (tRNA) molecules are approximately 80 nucleotides in length.
Source: RNAcentral
GGGCGAUUAGCUCAGUUGGCCAGAGCGCUACAUUGACGUUGUAGAGGCCGCAGGUUCGAGCCCUGCAUCGCCCACAA